Molecule: ribosomal RNA, 468 nt
Filed under: uncultured bacterium
Lineage: Bacteria
Description: partial 16S ribosomal RNA
Rfam family: Bacterial small subunit ribosomal RNA
Source: RNAcentral
GAUGAACGCUGGCGGCGUGCUUAACACAUGCAAGUCGAACGGAAAGGCCCAAGCUUGCUUGGGUACUCGAGUGGCGAACGGGUGAGUAACACGUGGGUGAUCUGCCCUGCACUUCGGGAUAAGCCUGGGAAACUGGGUCUAAUACCGGAUAGGACCACUUCUUGGAUGUUGUGGUGGAAAGUUUUUUCGGUGUGGGAUGAGCUCGCGGCCUAUCAGCUUGUUGGUGGGGUAAUGGCCUACCAAGGCGUCGACGGGUAGCCGGCCUGAGAGGGUGUACGGCCACAUUGGGACUGAGAUACGGCCCAGACUCCUACGGGAGGCAGCAGUGGGGAAUAUUGCACAAUGGGCGCAAGCCUGAUGCAGCGACGCCGCGUGGGGGAUGACGGCCUUCGGGUUGUAAACUCCUUUCGCUAGGGACGAAGCGUUUUGUGACGGUACCUGGAGAAGAAGCACCGGCUAACUACGUGC